AUGGGCGGCGACCAUGGCGGCCACGGCCCUAGCGGCGGCGACUUCCGGCAGAAGGUGUGGAGCAUGACCGGCGGGCCCUACUGCCGGCCCGUCCACUGGCGCCGCAACACCGCCAUCGCCAUGGUCGGCAUCUUCCUUGUCUGCAUCCCCAUCGCCAUGAAAUCCGCCGAGCUCGAGCAACGCCCGCAUCACCCAGUCCGGCCAAUCCCAUCCCAGCUUUGGUGCAAGAACUUUGGCAAGAAGGAGUACUGA
RNAcentral lists this ribosomal RNA (252 nucleotides) under Triticum aestivum (bread wheat). Its description in RNAcentral is "partial small subunit ribosomal RNA". The record is from RNAcentral. Lineage: Eukaryota; Viridiplantae; Streptophyta; Magnoliopsida; Poales; Poaceae.